AUGGAUGAGGAGUACUACAUGUUUCGCGACGAAGGAUACGAUAAUGACACCUUGGAGGAUGAAGAGGAAGCGAUCAUGUCGUCUGCUAUACCUAGCGAGGUUGAUCCAUUAGACAAAAACAUCCCAGACACGACUCACAUCCUGAAGCUCGACGCAAACUGCAAACACUGUAAGGCAAAAAAAAUUGUGUCUGAGACUGACGGCUUCUGCUGUCGCAAUGGCCAGAUCGAACUUAAACAACCUGAGCCAAUCCCAGAGCUGAUGAGGCUAUGGUCAAGCAUGGAUGCAGAUUCUAGACAUUUUCGGGAAAAUAUACGCUUCUUCAACGGGCAUUCCGCCUUCACAACCCUUGGCGUCAGCCUUGAUGAGAACUACACAAACAUGAAGUCUGGGGUGUACACAUUCCGGGCACACGGCACCAUCUACCACAAUGUGCAUUCGUUCGGGCCUAGCUCCCGUCCUGAGCAUCUGCAGUUAUACUUCUAUGAUGAUGACCCAACCCAUCACUCAUCGUAA
This 516-nucleotide ribosomal RNA is filed under the name Triticum aestivum (bread wheat). RNAcentral's name for it is "partial small subunit ribosomal RNA". Lineage: Eukaryota; Viridiplantae; Streptophyta; Magnoliopsida; Poales; Poaceae. The record is from RNAcentral.